CCUACGGGAUGCAGCAGUGGGGAAUAUUGGGCAAUGGGCGCAAGCCUGACCCAGCAACGCCGCGUGAAGGAAGAAGGCUUUCGGGUUGUAAACUUCUUUUCUGAGGGAUGAAGAAAGUGACGGUACCUCAGGAAUAAGCCACGGCUAACUCAGUGCCAGCAGCCGCGGUAAUACGUAGGUGGCAAGCGUUAUACGGAUUGAUUGGGUGUAAAGGGCGUGGAGGCGGGAAAGCAAGUCAGAUGUGAAAACUCAGGGCUCAACCCUGAGCCUGCAUUUGAAACUGUUUUUCUUGAGUGCUGGAGAGGCAAUCGGAAUUCCGUGUGUAGCGGUGAAAUGCGUAGAUAUACGGAGGAACACCAGUGGCGAAGGCGGAUUGCUGGACAGUAACUGACGCUGAGGCGCGAAAGCGUGGGGAGCAAACAGGAUUAGAUACCCCAGUAGUC
RNAcentral lists this ribosomal RNA (443 nucleotides) under uncultured bacterium. RNAcentral's name for it is "partial 16S ribosomal RNA". It matches the Rfam family "Bacterial small subunit ribosomal RNA", at positions 338 to 795 of the family's 1533-position model. The record is from RNAcentral.